GUUGAAAGGCGAGUAUAAGUUUGGUACUCUUUAAUCAGGUUAGGGAAACCGGUGGAAAGCCGGUGCUGCCCCCGCAACUGUAAGCCGGACGAAAGCUUUUUUUGGCCACUGUCCCGCCCCAAAAUUACCUAAAUUAAUUUUGGGGCGGGGUGGGAAGGCCGGUUAGUAGGUUUUCUGUCUGCCUGACUUAUUGUGUACACAAAUUUAUCGGCCUUUGGCCGAUGCUACAGGCAGACAGAAGAGAUGGCAAGCCAGGAUAUCUAACCUGACCGUCAUAACGGU
This 282-nucleotide non-coding RNA is filed under the name Flexistipes sinusarabici. The record is from RNAcentral. Lineage: Bacteria; Pseudomonadati; Deferribacterota; Deferribacteres; Deferribacterales; Flexistipitaceae.